RNAcentral lists this ribosomal RNA (645 nucleotides) under Salmonella enterica. RNAcentral describes it as "partial 23S ribosomal RNA". It matches the Rfam family "Bacterial large subunit ribosomal RNA", at positions 566 to 1190 of the family's 2925-position model. The record is from RNAcentral. Lineage: Bacteria; Pseudomonadati; Pseudomonadota; Gammaproteobacteria; Enterobacterales; Enterobacteriaceae.
GUUUGCGACGCCCAACACACAAAACAAGCGGUGAAUGCUUUGGGGUGGGGUGACUGCGUACCUUUUGUAUAAUGGGUCAGCGACUUAUAUUCUGUAGCAAGGUUAACCGAAUAGGGGAGCCGGAGGGAAACCGAGUCUUAAUUGGGCGUUAAGUUGCAGGGUAUAGACCCGAAACCCGGUGAUCUAGCCAUGGGCAGGUUGAAGGUUGGGUAACACUAACUGGAGGACCGAACCGACUAAUGUUGAAAAAUUAGCGGAUGACCUGUGGCUGGGGGUGAAAGGCCAAUCAAACCGGGAGAUAGCUGGUUCUCCCCGAAAGCUAUUUAGGUAGCGCCUCGUGAAUUCAUCUCCGGGGGUAGAGCACUGUUUCGGCUAGGGGGCCAUCCCGGCUUACCAACCCGAUGCAAACUGCGAAUACCGGAGAAUGUUAUCACGGGAGACACACGGCGGGUGCUAACGUCCGUCGUGAAGAGGGAAACAACCCAGACCGCCAGCUAAGGUCCCAAAGUCAUGGUUAAGUGGGAAACGAUGUGGGAAGGCCCAGACAGCCAGGAUGUUGGCUUAGAAGCAGCCAUCAUUUAAAGAAAGCGUAAUAGCUCACUGGUCGAGUCGGCCUGCGCGGAAGAUGUAACGGGGCUAAACCAU